Molecule: long non-coding RNA, 448 nt
Filed under: Pan troglodytes (chimpanzee)
Lineage: Eukaryota; Metazoa; Chordata; Mammalia; Primates; Hominidae
Description: long non-coding RNA NONPTRT000199
Source: RNAcentral
CCUUGGGAAAAGUGCAGUAUUUGGGUGGGGAGUGUCCCGUUUUUCCAGGUGGUCUGUCACAGCUUCCCUUUGCUAGGAAAGGGAAAUACUCCAACCCCUUGCACUUCCCGGGUGAGGCAACACCUCCCCCCUUCCCUGCUUCAGCUUGCCCUCCAUGGGCUGCACUUACUACAUCAGAAAAAAAGAGAUUGGUAGAACUUAAACAUAUGCUUAUCAUAUGGCCCAGCAAUUCCACUUCUAGAUAUUUGUCCAAGGGGAAUGAAAAUAUGUCCACACAGAGAUUUGUACAUGAAUAUUCAUAACAGCUUUAUUUGUAAAACUAGAAACUAGAAAACAAUCCAAAUGCACUCAAAUGUGCAUCAAUAGGCAAAUAGAGAAGCAAAUUGUGGAAAUCCAUACAAUGGACUACUACUCAGCAAUAUAAAGGAAUGAAGUACUGACACAUGCA